Molecule: small nuclear RNA, 104 nt
Filed under: Castor canadensis (American beaver)
Lineage: Eukaryota; Metazoa; Chordata; Mammalia; Rodentia; Castoridae
Source: RNAcentral
GUGCUCGCUUUGGCAGCACAUAUACUAAAAUUGGAAUGAUACAGAGAUGAGCACGGCCCCUGUGCAAGGAUGACACAGAAAUUCGUGAAGCAUUCCAUAUUUUU